AAAGCGAGCGGCGGAUGGGUGAGUAACACGUGGGGAACCUGCCCCAGUAGUCUAGGAUACCACUUGGAAACAGGUGCUAAUACCGGAUAAGAAAGCAGAUCGCAUGAUCAGCUUUUAAAAGGCGGCGUAAGCUGUCGCUAUGGGAUGGCCCCGCGGUGCAUUAGCUAGUUGGUAAGGUAAAGGCUUACCAAGGCGAUGAUGCAUAGCCGAGUUGAGAGACUGAUCGGCCACAUUGGGACUGAGACACGGCCCAAACUCCUACGGGAGGCAGCAGUAGGGAAUCUUCCACAAUGGACGCAAGUCUGAUGGAGCAACGCCGCGUGAGUGAAGAAGGUUUUCGGAUCGUAAAGCUCUGUUGUUGGUGAAGAAGGAUAGAGGUAGUAACUGGCCUUUAUUUGACGGUAAUCAACCAGAAAGUCACGGCUAACUACGUGCCAGCAGCCGCGGUAAUACGUAGGUGGCAAGCGUUGUCCGGAUUUAUUGGGCGUAAAGCGAGCGCAGGCGGAAGAAUAAGUCUGAUGUGAAAGCCCUCGGCUUAACCGAGGAACUGCAUCGGAAACUGUUUUUCUUGAGUGCAGAAGAGGAGAGUGGAACUCCAUGUGUAGCGGUGGAAUGCGUAGAUAUAUGGAAGAACACCAGUGGCGAA
This 646-nucleotide ribosomal RNA is filed under the name uncultured bacterium. RNAcentral describes it as "bacterial SSU rRNA". It matches the Rfam family "Bacterial small subunit ribosomal RNA", at positions 88 to 719 of the family's 1533-position model. The record is from RNAcentral.